AACGAACGCUGGCGGCAUGCCUAACACAUGCAAGUCGAACGAGACCUUCGGGUCUAGUGGCGCACGGGUGCGUAACGCGUGGGAACCUGCCCUUAGGUUCGGAAUAACUCCCCGAAAGGGGUGCUAAUACCGGAUAAUGUCUUCGGACCAAAGAUUUAUCGCCUUUGGAUGGGCCCGCGUUGGAUUAGCUAGUUGGUAGGGUAAAAGCCUACCAAGGCGACGAUCCAUAGCUGGUCUGAGAGGAUGAUCAGCCACACUGGGACUGAGACACGGCCCAGACUCCUACGGGAAGCAGCAGUGGGGAAUAUUGGACAAUGGGCGAAAGCCUGAUCCAGCAAUGCCGCGUGAGUGAUGAAGGCCUUAGGGUUGUAAAGCUCUUUUACCCGGGAUGUUAAUGACAGUACCGGGAGAAUAAGCUCCGGCUAACUCCGUG
This 433-nucleotide ribosomal RNA is filed under the name uncultured bacterium. RNAcentral's name for it is "partial 16S ribosomal RNA". It matches the Rfam family "Bacterial small subunit ribosomal RNA", at positions 29 to 507 of the family's 1533-position model. The record is from RNAcentral.